GCCUGGGGGUGCAGAUCCUCUCCAGGAGAUCUAACAGAACUGCAAGUCUUCUCCACCAGCAGAUGGCGACUGAUAGACCACGCUUGAACACGCCUUGCUUCAAGACCGAGGUCUGCGCAUGCUCCUUGAACACCAGGCUGCGGGCUGUUCCAGAUGUAUGCUAGAGUAACAGCAUUGCAUUACUUCCCCGGUGUCCUCAUUUGGGACCUGAACCUCUGGUUUCUUGCUUCCAGGACAGAAGGGAGGAGCCAAGCUGACAGGAUUGCUGUGUUCUCUGCAAGAAUCAGUUGCCCAAGAUGCAGCUGUCACCUGAUUAUAAAUCUCCUAACAUCUGGGGAGCAAGGCACAGGCCAUGGAUGAAGAUUUUCCAGGCUGGGACACAAAAAGGCUGAGCCUCUGUAGCUCUCCCUGCUCUAUCAACCUCACAGACUGGUAACUGGGCGCCAUAGCACAAACACAGCUCUCAGCAGGGAGGUAAAGAGCUAAGGUCUUGUGAAUCUCUGUCCUCUGCAGUUUCUCUGUUUCAGGUUUUCUGUAUUCCAGAGUUUAGGACAGCUGUGCCUGCUUAGCAGCUUGGUGUGAGAGGGCAAAGACUUCUGCAGCCAGCUGGUUGUGCAUUUUAAAAGUCUACCAGGCAGCUAAACCAGCCAAUCCUGGUUUGCCAACCUCUACCCGCCUUCCAAAAAUCACAAGCAUGCUGGGGUUGAGGUGGGGAACAGUUUAAGUGUGUCAUUGCUAAAAACAGAAAGUAAAUGUGCCCACAGAAGAGGAAAUGGAGAGUCUGUCAGAAGCCAGGAAAAGGAAACCUAAGGCAGAUCAGGGCUGAGCAGAUGUAGAAGAGCCUAGACAAUUCAGUCACUGCAGGGUGAGGGCUGCUGGACCACUGGGGAAGGUACUGGUUUGGCUUCUGAGUACUUGGGACACGGCUCCCUGAGGAUGACCUCGUGCUGGUCCUGAUUGGACCUGGAUUUCCAGAGGACUGGAGUUCAUCUGCAUCCUGUCGGCCACAGUCAGGGAGUGGCUAAAAACACACAGACAAGCCCAGACACCACUGAGCUGCCUCCCUUCUAGCUGUGCUGGCCCUGGUCACCCUGGCACCUUAAAACUGCCUGCAUUGAGCAAAGAGAAUUUCCCCUGGUGGCUCAGAAAACUUGCAGAAACUUGGAGGCUCAGCCAAAGAGGAACUGGUGGCCAUUUACUGACCGAAAUCUGCCCCACCCAUAACCAGCUGGCCUUGGUCUGAGACCCUAGCAGCUAGGAGCCUCUGAUCUCCAUCCUGGACGAAUGUUAAUUCCAGAUAGAAGACAUCCUUAGAUGGGAUGGGUGGUGGGUUGGUGGAUUGGGGUACAGAAAGGGGAUGACAGUAAGACCAACAGCAAUCCAGGCAGCAAAACCUUGUACAUGAGUCAGGACUACACAUAACGGGGCAAUCACACUCCGGGAUGCAUCCAGACCUGGAGACAUGUGGUACCCCUCUGGUCAGGUUAUGGUUAUCCCUGCUCACCAAGUCUGGCUACUUAACACCCAGCAGUGCCCUUGUACUAGUUAAGAAAAAGCAACUGAAUUUCCAAAAGGGAGCUGCAAUGUUGGCUGAAUGUAAGCAGCAGCAGAAUCAAUCCCAUCCCUGCCAAGACCCAGUUGCUGAUGCAGGAUUCUGAACUUCAGAGGAAACUAAGUAAUUCUCCCUGUGGAGACACUGAACCUGAUCAAAGAAGGUUUGAGGAGAGAAGGAGGCUGAGAGCAGAUUUGCACCAGGCCAUUCAGAAAGGGCAUCUUGAAGAGAACUCCUGGACUUUAGCUCUGGAGGAAGUAAGGGGCUGGAGAGAUGGUUCAGUGGUUAAGAGUUCCGAUUGCUCUUCCAGAGGUCCUGAGUUCAAUUCCCAGCAACCACAUGGUGGCUUGCAACCAUCUGUAAUGGUAUCUGAAAACUUCUUCUGGUGUAUCUGAAGACAGCUACAGUGUACUCACUCUACAGUGUCCUCACAUACGUAAAAUAAAUAAAGUUUUUUUUUUUAAAAAAGGAAGUCUUUCUUGCAUUUUAGGGGUGUGAGGAAAGCAAAUAAACAUUCUUUGGGUUUGUUUGUUUUUUUGUUUUUUAGAGCUUAAAAACAAAAUGACUAAAAGUGCUUGACUCUGUUUCUUCUAGGCAUGGAACCAGAGAUAACCUGAGAAGUUGCUGGUGUUGCAGUCUUCAGAGAGCUACAGGAAAUAUCCGGGUACCCAGAUGUUGUUUUGUACCUAGUGCACCUCCAAACACAUGCACCCUGAUUGUAAUUGAUAGGUAUAAGCAUGGAAGAUUUGUCAUUCUUUAUAAAUAUGUUGUUUCAUUCAUUCUUCCAUCCAAUUUCCAUUCAUUCAUUCUGUGGUGGUUUAAAGGAAGGUGGUCCUCACAGGCUCAUAUUUGAAUGGGGUUGGCUCCUAGUUGGUUAAACUCUUUUUGAAAGAUAAGGAGGUGUUCUCAUUUUGGAAGGAAGUGAUUCUAAGUGUUUCUCCCUCCCCCUCCCCCUCCCCCUGCUCUUCCCUCUCUUCAUCUUCCUGUGUGCCUCUCCCUCUUCUUGUCUCUCUCUCUGUCUCUGUUAAUCUGUCUCUCUGUCUCACUCUCACUCCUUCCCUAUGGGUGGUGCUGCCAUCUGGUGGUGAAACACGAUGUGAGCACUCUCAGCCAUUCCUUCCCUCUGCUGUCAAGGGUUCUAACUCUGUGAAACCAUAAUCCACACUAACCCCUUCUUUCACAAGUUGCUUUGAUCUGGAUUAUGUUGUUUUAUCAGAGCCAAGGAAAAGUGACAGAUACAUUCACCCUUUUCUGUUUGCCCACAUGUGAAGCUGCGUGUCCUUGAUUUCAUGCAGCUCUGUGUUCUCUUUCUAGCUCUGACCCCAUCCACCUCUCAAGCAUCCCUGAGAUCAUUAGGCAACUUUUCCCCAUACAUUUUCCUGAGGGACUCACAUGUGACAAGAAGAAAACACGAUUUCAUGUAUCCAGCAAGCUUUAACACACAAAUGAGAGACAAUGGAUAUCUGUCAUCUGGAGACUUGGUCAUCCAUUGGGUGUGGCUGUCUCCAGGCACAAGCAUCUUUAAGCAGACAGUACAACUUCAUCCUUCUUGUGAAGAACAAUAAUUGCUACACAUCUGAUCCCCACUCCCUCUUCAUUCAGUCUUUCACCAGAGGAAAGAUAUAUCAUUGGUUAUAUCACUUAGCAUUUAGAAACAGAGCUGCACGUAGGGUCACUGGUUAAGUAUCUCUGGGGUGUGUUGAUUCUCAGGUCCCCAAGAAUAUUGGACAUGCAAAUGGUAUUCAGCCAUUCAUGGGGAUUUAACACCUAGAGAGAUAAAGUAAACCUCCAACCAACAAAAGCACCAAACCAAACCAGGUAAAUGCAUUAGCAACCA
This is a long non-coding RNA of Rattus norvegicus (Norway rat), 3389 nucleotides long. RefSeq lists it as uncharacterized. The record is from RefSeq and is a predicted model, not a curated record. Lineage: Eukaryota; Metazoa; Chordata; Mammalia; Rodentia; Muridae.